Molecule: ribosomal RNA, 438 nt
Filed under: uncultured bacterium
Lineage: Bacteria
Description: bacterial SSU rRNA
Rfam family: Bacterial small subunit ribosomal RNA
Source: RNAcentral
GAUGAACGCUGGCGGUAUGCCUAACACAUGCAAGUCGUACGAGAGUUUUUAACUCUAGUGGCGGACGGGUGAGUAACACGUGAGAAUUUGCCUUUAGGAGGGGGAUAACAAUUGGAAACGAAUGCUAAUACCCCAUAUGCUUUUGAGUGAAAUGGAUUUUAUCCGCCUAGAGAGAAGCUCGCGGCUGAUUAGCUUGUUGGUAAGGUAAGAGCUUACCAAGGCGACGAUCAGUAUCUGGUUUGAGAGGACGAUCAGACACACUGGAACUGAGACACGGUCCAGACUCCUACGGGAGGCAGCAGUGGGGAAUUUUCCGCAAUGGGCGAAAGCCUGACGGAGCAAUACCGCGUGAGGGAAGACUGCCUAUGGGUUGUAAACCUCUUUUCAGGGAGGAAUAAAUGACGUGUACCUGAAGAAUAAGCAUCGGCUAACUCCGUG